AGAAAAUGAUGAAAAAUGUUUCCUAAAGCCCAGGAUGACGUCCUUAAAUGUUUUGUUUUGUCCACAACUCAAAGAUAUUCAGUUUACUGUCAUAGAGGAGCAAAGAAACCAGAAAAUUUUCACACUUAAGAAGCUAGAAUCGGAGUAUUUAGACUUUUUCUUUCUUAAAA
Molecule: long non-coding RNA, 170 nt
Organism: Sebastes umbrosus (honeycomb rockfish)
Lineage: Eukaryota; Metazoa; Chordata; Actinopteri; Perciformes; Sebastidae
Exons: 3
Source: RefSeq, a predicted model, not a curated record